UGCGAAUUCAGACCAGAGGUUUAAUCGGCACUGAAUUUCAACUUUCGCACUUGGCACUAGACCCCUUGGGCAAAUUUAUCUCAUCCGUUAUUUCACAACAAAUCGGCACAAGGAAUCAGAAGUAAUCUUUCAACUUUAAGUAUUUUACCCAAGAGUAGUUCGAGAUCUGCUAAGACAACUAUUCGACGCUGUCAUAUCCGGGAAUGGACGAAUCAGGCCAGCCGUUGAGCACGUUUCAGAAGUGUAAACUAGACUUCAAGAAAACACUCAUCGC
RNAcentral lists this non-coding RNA (274 nucleotides) under Protocruzia adhaerens. Lineage: Eukaryota; Ciliophora; Spirotrichea. The record is from RNAcentral.